RNAcentral lists this ribosomal RNA (485 nucleotides) under uncultured bacterium. Its description in RNAcentral is "partial 16S ribosomal RNA". It matches the Rfam family "Bacterial small subunit ribosomal RNA", at positions 27 to 507 of the family's 1533-position model. The record is from RNAcentral.
GAUUGAACGCUGGCGGCAGGCCUACCACAUGCAAGUCGAGCGGAUGAAGGGAGCUUGCUCCUGGAUUCAGCGGCGGACGGGUGAGUAAUGCCUAGGAAUCUGCCUGGUAGUGGGGGAUAACGUCCGGAAACGGGCGCUAAUACCGCAUACGUCCUGAGGGAGAAAGUGGGGGAUCUUCGGACCUCACGCUAUCAGAUGAGCCUAGGUCGGAUUAGCUAGUUGGUGGGGUAAAGGCCUACCAAGGCGACGAUCCGUAACUGGUCUGAGAGGAUGAUCAGUCACACUGGAACUGAGACACGGUCCAGACUCCUACGGGAGGCAGCAGUGGGGAAUAUUGGACAAUGGGCGAAAGCCUGAUCCAGCCAUGCCGCGUGUGUGAAGAAGGUCUUCGGAUUGUAAAGCACUUUAAGUUGGGAGGAAGGGCAGUAAGCUAAUACCUUGCUGUUUUGACGUUACCAACAGAAUAAGCACCGGCUAACUUCGUG